Molecule: long non-coding RNA, 386 nt
Organism: Leucoraja erinaceus (little skate)
Lineage: Eukaryota; Metazoa; Chordata; Chondrichthyes; Rajiformes; Rajidae
Exons: 3
Source: RefSeq, a predicted model, not a curated record
ACUCAGCAGCGGCAUCGGCAGCAGCAGCAGCAGCAGCGGCAGCAGCAGCAGCAGCAGCGCUCCUCCACCGCUCCGGUCUCGGCCAGCUCCGCGACGGCGACGGUGAGAUCCCUGCAGCCUCAAGCGGAAAUCCUACACAGAUGAGAAGAUAGACAUUUACGGACAAGCAGCGGUACAGUUCAAGACGCUGAAAAGCCUGAAGCAGGUGAAUCACCUCAAGAGGCAGUUCCUGAUGGUGAAGCAGAUGAGUCGGCCCCAAAGAGACUGCUUCGAUCCAUGACAAGUCAUAGUCAACAAACAGCAACUGUCGAGCACACUGACCGCAGGCAUGUCCUACCAGCGCAUUGCAUCAUUUGUAAAGGUUCAAAGUACACAAAAUAAAUAAA